CCUACGGGAGGCAGCAGUGGGGAAUAUUGCACAAUGGGGGAAACCCUGAUGCAGCGACGCCGCGUGAGUGAAGAAGUAAUUCGGUAUGUAAAGCUCUAUCAGCAGGGAAGAAAAUGACGAUACCUGAGUAAGAAGCCCCGGCUAACUACUUGCCAGCAGCCGCGGUAAUACCUUGGGGGCAAGCGUUAUCCGGAUUUUAUGGGUGUAAAGGGAGCGUAGGCGGUAGUGCAAGUCUGGAGUGAAGGGCGGGGGGUCAACCCCCGGACUGCUCUGGAAACUGUACGGCUGGAGUGCAAGAGAGGUAAGUGGAAUUCCUAGUGUAGCGGUGAAAUGCGUAGAUAUUAGGAGGAACACCAGUGGCGAAGGCGGCUUACUGGACUGUAACUGACGUUGAGGCUCGAAAGCGUGGGGAGCAAACAGGAUUAGAUACCCCUGUAGUC
RNAcentral lists this ribosomal RNA (440 nucleotides) under uncultured bacterium. Its description in RNAcentral is "partial 16S ribosomal RNA". It matches the Rfam family "Bacterial small subunit ribosomal RNA", at positions 338 to 795 of the family's 1533-position model. The record is from RNAcentral.